CAUAGGUUAAUGAGGCGAACCGGGGGAACUGAAACAUCUAAGUACCCCGAGGAAAAGAAAUCAACCGAGAUUCCCCCAGUAGCGGCGAGCGAACGGGGAGGAGCCCAGAGCCUGAAUCAGCAUGUGUGUUAGUGGAAGCGUCUGGAAAGGCGCGCGAUACAGGGUGACAGCCCCGUACACAAAAGCGCAUGUGCUGUGAGCUCGAUGAGUAGGGCGGGACACGUGGUAUCCUGUCUGAAUAUGGGGGGACCAUCCUCCAAGGCUAAAUACUCCUGACUGACCGAUAGUGAACCAGUACCGUGAGGGAAAGGCGAAAAGAACCCCGGCGAGGGGAGUGAAAAAGAACCUGAAACCGUGUACGUACAAGCAGUGGGAGCCCCACCACUAAGCCAGUGGUGAAGUCCACAUACGCAUCCUUUGCUGAGGAUACGGUUAACGGAGCGCAAGCGACGUUCAACCGCAAAAGAAGCAGAGGGGGCUUAGUGGUGGGGUGACUGCGUACCUUUUGUAUAAUGGGUCAGCGACUUAUAUUCUGUAGCAAGGUUAACCGAAUAGGGGAGCCGGAGGGAAACCGAGUCUUAAUUGGGCGUUAAGUUGCAGGGUAUAGACCCGAAACCCGGUGAUCUAGCCAUGGGCAGGUUGAAGGUUGGGUAACACUAACUGGAGGACCGAACCGACUAAUGUUGAAAAAUUAGCGGAUGACCUGUGGCUGGGGGUGAAAGGCCAAUCAAACCGGGAGAUAGCUGGUUCUCCCCGAAAGCUAUUUAGGUAGCGCCUCGUGAAUUCAUCUCCGGGGGUAGAGCACUGUUUCGGCUAGGGGGCCAUCCCGGCUUACCAACCCGAUGCAAACUGCGAAUACCGGAGAAUGUUAUCACGGGAGACACACGGCGGGUGCUAACGUCCGUCGUGAAGAGGGAAACAACCCAGACCGCCAGCUAAGGUCCCAAAGUCAUGGUUAAGUGGGAAACGAUGUGGGAAGGCCCAGACAGCCAGGAUGUUGGCUUAGAAGCAGCCAUCAUUUAAAGAAAGCGUAAUAGCUCACUGGUCGAGUCGGCCUGCGCGGAAGAUGUAACGGGGCUAAACCAUGCACCGAAGCUGCGGCAGCGAACGUAUCACCCAAGACAACUUUACGGAGUUGACGAUUGACGGAGCGAAGCGACGUCAAAGCGUUCAUUAAAGUCGAGUUGGCUUAGGGAUACGUUCGUUGGGUAGGGGAGCGUUCUGUAAGCCUGUGAAGGUGGCCUGUGAGGGUUGCUGGAGGUAUCAGAAGUGCGAAUGCUGACAUAAGUAACGAUAAAGCGGGUGAAAAGCCCGCUCGCCGGAAGACCAAGGGUUCCUGUCCAACGUUAAUCGGGGCAGGGUGAGUCGACCCCUAAGGCGAGGCCGAAAGGCGUAGUCGAUGGGAAACGGGUUAAUAUUCCCGUACUUGGUGUUACUGCGAAGGGGGGACGGAGAAGGCUAUGUUGGCCGGGCGACGGUU
Molecule: ribosomal RNA, 1480 nt
Filed under: Salmonella enterica subsp. enterica
Lineage: Bacteria; Pseudomonadati; Pseudomonadota; Gammaproteobacteria; Enterobacterales; Enterobacteriaceae
Description: partial 23S ribosomal RNA
Rfam family: Bacterial large subunit ribosomal RNA
Source: RNAcentral